CACCAUAAUGGGGUCACUAUAAUAGGGUCACUAUAAUAGGAUCACCAUAUUGGGGUCCACAAUGGGGUCACCCUAAUGGGGUCACUGUAAUGGGGUCUCCAUAAUGGGGUCACCAUAAUGGAGUCCCUAUAGUAGGGUCCCCUCAAUGGGGUCUCCAUAUUGGGGUCCACAAUGGGGUCACUCUAAUAGGGUCACCAUAUUGGGGUCACCUCAAUGGGGUCACCAUAAUAGGGUCACCACAUUGGGGUCCCUCAAUGGGGUCACCAUAAUAGGGUCCCCUCAAUGGGGUCUCCAUAUUGGGGUCCCCUCAAUGGGGUCUCCAUAUUGGGGUCCACAAUGGGGUCACCCUAAUAGGGUCAUCCCAAUGAGGUUAUUAUAAUAGGGUCUCCAUAAUGGGGUCACCUCAGUGGGGUCACCAUAUUGGGGUCCACAGUGGGGUCACCCUAAUAGGGUUCCCUCAAUGGGGUCACCAUAUUGAGGUCACCACAAUGGGGUCACUAUAAUGGGGUCACCUCAAUGGGGUCACCAUAUUGGGGUCCCCUCAAUGGGGUCACUAUAAUAGGGUCACCUCAAUGGGGUCACCCUAAUAGGGUCACCAUAUUGGGGUCACUAUAAUAGGGUCUCCAUAUUGGGGUCACCCUCAUAGGGUCACUAUAAUGGGGUCACCAUAAUAGGGCCACCAUAUUGGGGUCCCUUAAUAGGGUCACCUCAAUGGGGUCUCCAUAUUGAGGUCACCACAAUGGGGUCACUAUAAUAGGGUCACCUCAAUGGGGUCUCCUCAAUGGGGUCACCAUAAUGGGGUCAUCAUAAUGGGGUCCCUUAAUGGGGUCCUCUCAAUGGGGUGACCAUAAUGGGGUCCACAAUGGGGUCACCACAAUGGGGUGACCGUAAUGGGGUCACCAUAUUGGGGUCCCUCAAUAGGGUCACCAUAAUAGGGUCACCUCAAUGGGGUCGCCAUAUUGGGGUCCACAAUGGGGUCACCCUAAUAGGGUCACCACAAUAGGGGUCACCAUAAUGAGGUCACCAUAUGUGGGUCCCUUAAUGGGGUCACCUCAAUGGGGUCACCAUAUUGGGGUCCACAAUGGGGUCACCCUAAUAGGGUCACCACAAUGGGGUCACCACAAUAGGGGUCACCAUAAUGGGGUCCACAAUGGGGUCACCCUAAUAGGGUCACCACAAUGGGGUCACCAUAAUAGGGUCACCACAAUAGGGUCACCAUAUUGGGAUCCCUGUAUUGGGGUCCACAAUAGGUUGCCCAUAAUGGGGUGCCCAUAAUAGUGUCAAAGCACUUGUGCAAAGCAGUGCAAGCUGCGUUGCAAUGAAGGACUCGUGCACACGAGCACUUGUGCAAGGCAGUGCACACUCAUUAUGAAGGAUCUGCGUUGCAAGGCACCGUGUGUUGCACACUUGUGCAAUGGAGCACACGAGCACUUGUGCAAGGCAGUGCACACUCAUUAUGAAGGAUCUGUGCAUUGCACGGCAAUGUGUGUUGCACACUUGUGCAAUGGAGCACACAAGCACUUGUGCAAGGCAGUGCACACUCAUGAAGGAUCUGUGCGUUGCAAGGCACCGUGUGUUGCACACUCGUUCAAUGGAGCACACGAGCACUUGUGCAAGGCAGUGCACACUCAUGAAGGAUCUGUGCAUUGCA
Long non-coding RNA from Coturnix japonica (Japanese quail), 1651 nucleotides. NCBI's taxonomy places the organism in Eukaryota, Metazoa, Chordata, Aves, Galliformes, Phasianidae. The record is from Ensembl.